GACGAACGCUGGCGGCGUGCCUAAUACAUGCAAGUAGAACGCUGAAGAGAGGAGCUUGCUCUUCUUGGAUGAGUUGCGAACGGGUGAGUAACGCGUAGGUAACCUGCCUUGUAGCGGGGGAUAACUAUUGGAAACGAUAGCUAAUACCGCAUAACAAUGGAUGACACAUGUCAUUUAUUUGAAAGGGGCAAUUGUUCCACUACAAGAUGGACCUGCGUUGUAUUAGCUAGUAGGUGAGGUAAUGGCUCACCUAGGCGACGAUACAUAGCCGACCUGAGAGGGUGAUAGGCCACACUGGGACUGGGACACGGCCCAGACUCCUACGGGAGGCAGCAGUAGGGAAUCUUCGGCAAUGGGGGCAACCCUGACCGAGCAACGCCGCGUGGGUGAAGAAGGUUUUCGGAUCGUAAAACUCUGUUGUAAGUCAAGAACGGGUGUGAGGGUGGAAAGUUCACACUGUGACGGUAGCUUACCAGAAAGGGACGGCUAACUACGUG
RNAcentral lists this ribosomal RNA (497 nucleotides) under uncultured bacterium. Its description in RNAcentral is "partial 16S ribosomal RNA". It matches the Rfam family "Bacterial small subunit ribosomal RNA", at positions 28 to 507 of the family's 1533-position model. The record is from RNAcentral.